This is a long non-coding RNA of Cygnus olor (mute swan), 5586 nucleotides long. RefSeq lists it as uncharacterized. The record is from RefSeq and is a predicted model, not a curated record. NCBI's taxonomy places the organism in Eukaryota, Metazoa, Chordata, Aves, Anseriformes, Anatidae. The transcript has 4 exons.
UUUUUCCCCCUCCCCUCAUUCUGGUCUUCACUGAUCAGGGACAGCCAGUUCAAGUGUGCAAGUAAAAUGCAAGCUGAAAGGCAGGGAGACGAGGCAGUUCUGAAACUAGGUUAGAGAUUAAAUGAGCCUGAUAUUUGGCAGCUGUAGGCAAGGUUGGAUUGCCCUAGGGAAAGGGCUCAAAAUGAUUAAUGAAAUGAUGUUAUUAGCCUAUCAUGGGAUUGCAAUUCUGUUUGAAUCCCGAAGACAGAAAUUGAGAGGAGCUGUGUGGGUGUGAAUGAUGUACUGUAGAAGAAAGCUCAAGAACAGUUUCCCAGAAGGCAAGUAGAUCCCUUAAGGCAACCUCAUGUUUGUUUUAUUGCACCAUGUAGUCUAAAAUAUGCCCUUCACUACCACUGGAUUGAUUCAUCAGCUGGUAUUGGGAUUUACCAUCUGCAAAGCUGUCCUUUCUCAGUUUAGGAGGCUCAGGAAACAAAGAAGGGAAUCAUAGAGACUGUUCUGAGGUUUUCACGAAUGAGAUGAGUGCACUGGCAUCAACACUGGCUCCGUGGUAUUCUCCAGUCCCUUCAGAUGGACGGAGUGUGGCAGUAUUAUCUUAUCAUGACGCUUACCACGCUGCAGGAUCCACCCUUAGCUGAGCCCCCUUCAGAGUGAAGUGAGAAUGGCUGUUCUCAAAAGGAUGUUCGUACCCAUGGUGUCUGUGGAAGCAUAUACUUGGAACGGACACUCCUCUGCCUGUUCUUGCUGUUGACAAGCCCUUUGGACUUGCCUGUGGACAGAACAGUUUAUAUGGACAGUAUUAUACCAUGCAGGGAAAGGGAAGUGCCCUCUGGUCUUGCCUUCACCUGGGUUGCUGUAGUGGUGAACACCAGGGGUGACACCAUCCACUACAUCAGGUAAUGGAAGUGCAGGAGCUGCUCUUGGCACUCCAGCAUGGGGAGGUCAUCUUUGUUAUGCCUUCAGGGUAAUAAGUGGGGGAAAAGGCUACGUCUGUGUGAGUGACAUAUGGAGGAGGGAGAGAGGGAAAAGGAAUCCCUUGUUUACCUUCCUUUCUGCUGGGAGGACAAAGAGGCACAAAGCCACCCUGCAAGCUGGCAGAUACCCACGAUCAAAAGCAGUUCUGCAUUUUAUAACCAGCUCGUGAGAUUUAGUGCUGUAAGAAGUCUCUGACGAGCCAUGGCUUCAGGAUUCCCAAGGGGAUUAUGUGCACAAAUGACAAGAAUAUCCCUUGGAAUAAAUAUUAAAACGAACUGGAGCUUUGAAAAGGAUAUAAGCCCUUGUGUCUGGGGCUCUGCCACUUUUAACUACUCGUGCUUAAGCAGACUGAUGGGGAUUCUCCACCUUCUCCAGCUAUGGGAGCCCGGAUGGCAGUGUCCUGAGGCACCACAGCCAGAGCUGGCCCCCACCCUAAACAGCCAUUUCCAGCCUGAAAGGAUGGGGGCCUGCAGGUCAGGGUCUGUGGUCAGUAGGAAAUUGAGGAUGCCUUUCCCUAUAACAACUCCUUCAAUGACAGUCCGUGAGGUCUGUGCCCCUGUUGACUUAAUUUACAACAGGUGGGCACCCAGCUCUUGGGAGCUGCUGGGUUGCAGCAAUCUUGGUAGGGAGCACAGAAAGCCAAGAAAAAGAUUUUGCUCAAGGCGCAGGUCACAGGCACUUACAUGCUAGUUAUCUGCAGGGCAUGUCACAAAUAGAGGCUGCCUCCUGGGGAAGGACUGGACCGGAUUCUCCCAGGACAGGGAGGAGGAGGAAUUCCUGACAGCGUUGCAGCACUCGUGCAGCAGAGCUUUGGAGCUCUUUGCUGAAAAUCCACUGUCCGAGAAGCCCUGCACAGGAACACGAAUGGUCUUUGUCCAGGAGGUGCAAAGGCUGGCUUUUAAAAAGCACCUUGAUAGUGUCUGUCUCUGCUGCUCUGGGUCUGUCUUCAUGCCAUUCCCCAUUCUAAGCUACUUUGAUUUUUAUUUUUUUUUAAAGCUUUAAGUGGGUCUAUAUAUAGAACAGGCUGCAUCCUGCCUGAAGACUCUCUGACAGUGAAUAAGGAGCUUAAUAGGGCUCCCUGAUACGUCUCAGGAUUUUUCCAUUUCUAAUUCUCUGCAGUUUGAAGCUUGGAUAAGAGCUUUCUUUCCCCAGGUGAUGACCACCUCUUGGUGCUGGGUAAAUUGAAUUUGAAUUGGACAGGGCCUUUGCAGAGAUAGACUUGCUGCAAAAAUACCAGCCCAGAAAGAUGCACGGUGAUGAGAGAGUUUAGCCCUCCAUUCUCCUCAAGUCUUUGCCAGGCAGAGGCCACCCUAUAUCAAGGUGGUGGAGGUGGCUCUGUGCCAUGACAGUGGCACACUCUGCUUGCCCUGUGUGGACACCUGCUUCCAUCCCCGUGCCACAGCCAGUGAAAGCAGAGUCAAAAUUUCUGGUUCUUAGCAGCUCCCAGAUGAGCCAGCUAUGAGCUGAAUCUUUGCAGAACACUUUUCUGUGGCCUAUUAGCUGUUUGCUGUGCAAAGCGCUGACUUGAAUUGUUGUUGAUUUAGGGUAAAUGGCAAGCAUUCUUGCAAAUGAGGUGAAGACAAAAUUCAUGCUUUAAGAAGCAUUGUUGUAGCUUUCCUGUCUUGUAACGUUUAUCUGCUCAAGCACUUCCAGCAUUAUAGUUGUUGUUGUUGUUGCUUUUUCAGCACAUGUUAAAUGCUGCAAAAUAUAUCUGCUCUCUGUUGUAUGGUUCCCUGUGCAUCUGGGAUAGGGAAUUGCCCUUGUGUGUAGAAUUUACUGCCUCUAUUUUUUGAACACUUCAGUUUUAACAUUACACAGAUUAUUGCAUUUCAGUAGGUGGGAUAACUAUUAAUUAAAAUAUUUGGUCUGGAAGACUUGGAAAAGGACUGGAAAAUCAAUUGUGUUCUUCUAAGGAGCUUUCUUGGUGAAAUUAUUUUUGAUUGUCUCCAAAUUUUGGUGGCUUGCUGUGAUUACUAAGCUUCUGCUUCUUCUACAUUGCUAUAUCUCAAAACAAUUGUUCCAUAAAAUACCACAGCAGUGGGGCUGGGGAACAGUAAUUUUUCAGUUGGAAACUUCAACAUGCGUUACAUAUAAAAUGAAAUAGUGAGUUUUGAAGAUGCCAUGAUGGAAAAAUGAGUAUACAGCCAAAAACCAUCUUGGGAGGGGGAAAGGUGCAGUUUUCAGCUGCUGAUGCAGGGAUGUGCUUUACUUACUGUGCAAAGCCUGUCACAGAAGAACUUGCCUUAUCUUUGUGCCCUCUCUUUAUUUGUGGCAGAAGGCAUCAAAGUAGCUAUGUAUUUACUUGUCAGAAAUUGAGAAGUCUGAGGAUACCCUGUAAGGCUUAGGGAUCUGCCUGUAUGCUUUGUAAAGGACUCCCAGCACAGACAGGGUAAGAGGGACAGUAAUUCAGGGUUCAUUUUCUUUGCUAGCUUUUUAGUAUGAGAUCCAAGGAAAUAAAAAGUAAAAGGAGGAAAAAUAGAAAAAGGAAAAGGAAAAGAAAAACUAUGCCUGCCUCUGAACUGCCACUCCUUCUUGUUUUAGGGAAUUGCCAUCCCCAAAGAUAGUUGAGUGUCUACUGCCACUGCCUUUCAGCAGGAAUCCUGAGUCAGUACAGUAAGUGGGGUGCCAGUCAACCCCCCAGCAAAGAACCAGAGGGGGUUAUGACUGCGAAGCCUGCAAUCUCACAUCCUUAUCUCUGUGCCACAGCACACACUGGGCUUGGCAAAGGCUCUCCCUUUCCCAAUGGGGCCCUUUCCAUGCUUGCCUCUUAAGCAAGGACGUGCCAUGCCAAUGCCCCAGCUAUUUGAGGAUGGAUAGCUUUGUACUGCUGAGAGCUCUAAUGGAAAUGAACUUGUCUGUCUGACAAGGGUUCUCUGUCAUUUUUGGUAUCACUGGGGAUAUUCUACAAUUGCAUUACAUGGUGAAUAUCACUAUGAUGGGUUAAUUCAUGCAAUUAGAGCAAGCACCUCAAACUCUUCAAUAGAAUCCUUCCUGCCAGGUGUUGUGUCUAGGGCAUGUUGGAUGUGCUGCUCAGUUUCAUGAUCCACAAUCCUCAUUUUCUGUCUGGUAGAUGAGCAUUAGAAAAUGCCCUAAAACAGUUUAAUUAACCGCCCGUCUGGCAGGGCAACAUCUGCGAAAACACAAACCGGAGGCAAGACAAGAGUGGGGUUUUCUCUCUGUCAUCCACCUGGAGCCAACCUGUGGCUUGAGAAUGUCUGUUUUCCAUCCCCUCCUGGUGUGCUUAAAAAGAGUAAAAAUAAUAAUAAUUUUUAAAAACUUCUUACACAUUUUGUUAGUAAACAGAGUUCCAGAAUUAGAGACCAUGCCAAGUGUAUAUUUAAUCUUUUUCACCUGGCUUAACUGAUGUUGACAAUCACAUUGCAGACCUUAUUGUUGCGUAGUCUGAGAACCAGAUGAUAGCAAGCAACAAUGCUGAAGCCAAUUCCUUUUGCUUUGUAGCAUAUUUGUGGUAAUUAUACAUAUAAUUAUCUGUAAUUAUACAUAUAAUCGUCACUUUUAAAAUGCACUGUUGUCUGUAAAUACGGAAGCUCAGUAUUUGUAACAGCACUGUAGGUCAUGUCCACAGAUAGCCACACCCCUGUCUCUUCUCCAAAUGAAUGAACACAAUUAAGAAGCUGAACACCACGUGGCUUUGUAGGAAAAUACUUGCUAAGCUUUCUGUGAGUAGACGUCUUCAGCAAUGUUAUUGAAAUAGAAUUAAAAACAAUCUGGAGUGGAAGAGAUAAGAGCACUUUAAACAAGCUUGUAAAUGAAAGAAACAAUCCAGCUCGUAGACAACCUGCAUAAUACAAAUUGGGUAGUCAAGGGCACGUGCAGUAAAUUUCCUUCUGCAAGUCAAUAAAGUAAUAGACCUCCUUCAUGUCAUUUCCCUUUUGUGCAAAGAGUGAACAUGUAGUCUUUCUGGAGAUGAACAAUGAAGCACUGAAUAUGUAGCUGCAUGAACAAUGCAUUGAGAGAGAACCCAAGUAAAAAGAAUAGAAAUAUAUCUGUGCUGUGUUUUUCACUCUCUUUUUCUUGACUCUGUAGUGAAUAUUUUCAGGCCAGGAGGCUAUUUAGGUUGCAGUUUUGAAGAGGGUGAGGAAUCAAAUAUGCACCCCUGAACAACGUAAGGUGCAGAGCUCCUGUAACCAAGUAAUAUUUGCAGCAAACCAUGACAUGAUUACAGGAGUGGGUGAGAGCGGCUGAUGAGUUUAGAGGCUGUGAGUGAUUUAAAGUAGACUCCUAGUAUCUGCUGUUCUUGGGAGCUGGGAAAAUAAAUAACCUUUGCUUAUGACAAACUCCCUCCUAGAAUGAUGUGGACAUUAUGGUGGUGCAUGCUGGAAGUGGCUAAAUGUGCGAUAAGGUAUUUUAGGAUGAAUAAUGUCUUGUGUCGUUUUCUGAACUGAGGAAUCUUUGGAGUUUACAUUUUUACAACAAGCUAUGCUCUCCAUGCACCUCCUGCAUAGUCUAUGAGAACUGAACCAGUUGUGAUAAGUCCAGCACAUGGGGCCGAGUAUGAUUUUAAGCUUCCUUUUGUCAUUCCUGAUGCUUUUUCCUGGUGCAUGUCUGCAAUUACUACUUUAGAGCUGUGGAAACCUUGUGGCCCAGCUAACU